GAUGAACGCUGGCGGCAUGACCAACACACGCAAGCCGAACGGGGAGCGAUGUUUCCAGCGGCGUACGGGCGAGAAACUCGUGAGACUCUGCCCUCUGGAGGGGAACAACACCGGAAAACGGUUGCUAAUACAACGCAGCCCUAGGCCCAAACGGAGACAUCCGCCCUAGGAGGGGCGCGCGUCUGAGAAGCGAGUUGGAGUGUUACGAGCUUACCAAGGCGUUGCGCGGCAGCGGGUCCGAGGGGAUGACCCGCCACGCUGGGACUGAGACCCGGCCCAGACUCCUCCGGGAGGCAGCAGUGGGGAAUUUUCCACAGUGGGCGAAAGCCUGACGGGGCAAUGCCGCGUGGAGGGGGGACGGCUACGGGUCGUCCACUUCGUUUCUCGGAGAAGACACAAUGACGGUAUCUGAGGAAUAAGCCUCGGCUAACUGCUUG
This 437-nucleotide ribosomal RNA is filed under the name uncultured bacterium. Its description in RNAcentral is "partial 16S ribosomal RNA". It matches the Rfam family "Bacterial small subunit ribosomal RNA", at positions 28 to 507 of the family's 1533-position model. The record is from RNAcentral.